AACUGGUCCAAGAAGAACCGCCAGAUUAUUGUAAUAAAAUUUCAAUAAAAAUAAAACUUAACGCGCCAAAACAAAAAAACGCUCUGUAUCUCCAAAUUAUCGAUCAAUCAUUGAACGCUCAAAUCUCUCAUUUCCAAUCGGCCAAAUAUCUCUCAUUUUCAAUCGACUAAAUUUCUCAAAUCAUCGGCUACAUCUGUCUCAUUUCUAAUUGCAACCUCCAUUAUUGUAUUAGAAGAAGAAUCCAUCAAUGGGUCAAUUCCUGGUGAAGAUGGCCGGUUCAAAAUCGAAAACCCUAAGUUUUUUUUUCAAGAUUUGGUGUUCUCUAUGUAUAUUGUUCUGUGAUAAAGUGUAAAGGAGGUUCAAAAUAAAAAACCCUAAGUUUUUUUCCAAGUUUUGGUGUUCUCUAUGUAAAUUGUUCUGUGAUAAAGUGUAAAGGAGCUACCUUGAUCACUAAUUUGUAUGUAUCUAUAUGUGUUUUGUAUUUUUUUCAAAGAUUUGGGGUUCUUUGUUUCUUUGAUAAAGUGUAAAGGAGCUAUCUUGAUAAAUGGUGAAAGAAGAAAAGUUGUUCUAAUAACCGUUGUAAUUAAACAACAACAACAACAAACUCGGUGUAUGUCCAUAAGUGGGGUAUAUGGAGGGUAGAGCAUUCACAAACUUGUGAGAUGUCCUUGGUAGUUAGUUUGAUGCACUGUGCAUGUUUCUUAAUAUAAGUAGUAGUAGAAUUAUUCUUAUAGUUUCUUGCUCUGCGAUUUCUGUUACUACCUAUUGCUAUAUGUGCUUCAAUUCUCGCAUUAUUUGGCUAUUGUUAGUGGUCUUUGUAAUUGUUUGUUUAAAAAUGCAAAGUAAGGCUGAGCCCAACUUGUUUGGUGUAGUAGUUGUUGUCAUUGGUAUAACCACAAAACUCUUCUGGGCUAUUGAUUGUUCACUUUAAUGGCCUGAUCCAAGUCAGGUGGAGUCGUUACAUCUUACUAAUUAAUUCAAAGUUCUAAUAAUUACUCUUUUUAUUCCAUUUUACAUGAUAAUCUUUCCUUACUGGUGUGUUUCAAAAAUGACAUCUUAUUAUAUUUAUAUGUUAAUUUAUCAGUGUUAGACUUGCUCUUAUAGGAAUUUCAUGACAUCCUAAUAAAAAAAAAGAUUCUAACAACAUUUUGGGAUGCUACAUAUUUGUAGAUUUUGUGUCAAAAUUCUUUCUUUCUUGUUUCUUAAAUUCCAAUGUCUAGUCAGACAUUGUCAUGAUAUAUAUAUUUAAAUGAAGGUAGUAUCUAAGUAAGGGGUGCUCUUGGUUGUAGUUAGAGCUAGAGCUAUGAUUGACAUCUUCUUUCCAGUUAUUUGCUGGAUGGGGAAGUUUUCUUUGUCAUCUGAUACAUUUAGUUGACUACAUUACAAUGUGAUAGAUGGAUAUGAUCCUUUAUUCUAUUUUUUGGGGAUCAGGAUGAGGGGCAAAUGUCUUAUGUAAUAGGCUUGGCCUGUUAACAGUUUGAAAAAUUGAAUUGAAUGUUAAUAGGCUUUUCGAACAAAAUGUUUUGGUAAAAUUUUUUGUUUUUUAAUUCUUGUUGUGACAACAUUUUAAGAGUACACAAUAUCCUAAUAUAUCCUAAAUAUCCUUAAACUACUCAAGAUCCUAUAUAAACAUAUAACAAGUCCAGUGAGACUUAAGCGUGUUUAGAACUAGACUCAUGAUAGGCUAUGUUGCUCGAACUCUUCAAAAAUGUCAAUGGGUGCAUGUUGGAUUUUCCAAAACUAGCAUAUUGUUGGAUAAUCUGACACGGGUGCUGAAUUGAAAGUAAAGAGUCCGCGCAAGUUAGGCUAUAGGUAUAUAAAGACAUGAGUGAUGUUUAGAGUUAUUUUUUUGUUGAGCACGUUAUUUGCUUUCUCAUUAGCUCUCAAUUUUCCUUAAAUCUUCAUUGCAUAUAUUAGAAUUUUUUAGUCAAAAAUCAUCAAUACAUGGAAAGGUUCCUUCAGGCUACCUGAAUGCCAUUUUUUAUUUGAGUGGAGCCUGGUUGAACGAUUCAGUGAAGGCUAAGUACCGGGCUUUUAAUGGUUAUUUUUUCUCUUUGUAUUAUUUGAACCUGACAACAUCCCUAUUAGUACCCCACGACCAGAUGAAAAAAGCAGUUCCACCACAUUGGGAUCCAGCAUCAUUAUCCAGGUAGCUUCUCUAUUCCACUCUGAACUUUCUUUAGCUCAAUCGGAUGAAUAUCUAUUUGUAAGCUCUAACUGGCAAAGCACAAUUUCUUAAAUAUCGUUGUAAUGCCUUUGAGAAGACUGUUAACUGAUGCUUUUGUGGUUUCCGUUUAGUUUUUGGGUUAAGUACUCAUGCAUUCAAGGAUAGUUUUGGGAGAUGCAUUUUUGUUAUCAUAUGGUCGUUUUGUUUCAUGUGAUUUCUAAUUUGAUAGUUCUUAGCAGAUUUAUCCAGGCUUAUGGGACACACAUAAUUGUCGAUAUGGGUGUUGGAGGCCUGGACAUACUUUGCGUUAAGCAGAAACCAUCCUCAGCAAUUCCUCCGGCUGAACUAAGAGCACACUUGGAUGACCUUAGAGAUUGUCUUUUUUCUAAUGAAACAAUUCCUCUGCCUGAGUUGAAGCCAAAAGAGGUUAAAAAGAAGGUCCCUGAGAUAUUUCUUCGCACACAAUGCAAUUUACUAGCUUAACAGAGACAUCAAGCAAGGAUGGUCUCACUAUGAUUUGGUCAAAAAGAGGUGGUGAUAUUUUUGCACAAAGCCACUCAAAGUGGCUUCAGACCGUGGUUGCUUACCCUGAUAGCAUACUCUUCAGACUUGUACCCAUUACAUUGCUGCUAACAGGAAUUCCAGGAAGCGGCUAUCUCAGCCAUGCAAUAAAUGUAUAUCUGCACUAUAAACCUGCUCUAAAGGAUUUACAGUGUUUCCUCAAGUUUUAAGGUCCUAGCUAGUGGGCGCCAUUGUUCUGCGAGCUGCCUCUUAGUCAUCAAAGAAGAGUGGCCUCUUACCCUGUGUUGCAAUUCUGUUUAUGCAGACCAAGGCUGUGUGUGAGACCUACAAAGGUACUUCUUGGUGUUUCUUUCUUAGCAAAAAGACUUUUUUUUAAUUAGAAGUAUAAGAAAAAUUGAAGUAAUAUGUGUUUUGUUUCAAUGAAAGAUUGCUACGAUAGGUUACUUUCUGUGGCAGCAGCCACUGCUAAUGGUGCUUAUGGUAAUUUUUUUCCCGUUUCUUCACUUCAGUUUCUAAUUAGUGCUGAUGUUAACUUUGCAAUCGGAUAGACAUAUGAGUUAGCUGCUGAUUUAAAGAGUUCAAAAACCACCAAGUUUAAUCUUAUCCUUGCAAAUACUGUCCAAUAGCGGAGCAUCAAAACUAAAGACUUAAGUAAGAAAAAAGCCUUGGUAUACUUUAGCAACUUGAAGAAAAAAAAUGUAGCAGUUAUGCAAGCUUGCAGAAAACUGAACAAUAUAUACUCCUUUUCGUAUGCAGAUACUUUAACCCUUGGGAUUAUUUUACCCCACCUUAUAUAUGGGAUAGUAAUUCCAUCAUAGCUAUUGGAUAAAAUAAGCCCUGGAUUAGUGUUUCUGAUGUUGUGCUCACGAGUAUUCUUAAUAUUUGUUAAUAUGUUGAGUAUCCUUGAUUGAUCCCGAUGAAACAUUUUAUAUGUGACACCAUAUUUUUCUCUCGACUUUAGUGGAUCCUAAACAAAUGUAAGAACUUAGUAUUAGAGGAUUCAAUCAUUAUCUAAUAAUGAGAUUACUUAUUUUUUGUCAGGUUUGAAUUCUACUAUUCUGUAUAGAUUCCCAAUUAUCUCCAGUAACUUACAUCUCUUAGAUGUAUCAGGAUAAAUGUGUUACAUGGUUCAAUAGCUGCAACAUUCUCUCUUUACUUGAUACGAAAUAUGACAAGGCCAACAAUGAACUGUCAGACAUUGAUUCCAACAUAGAUCUAACUGAAUUCAAGCAAAGGUUUAAUCACUUCGUUGCAUAUGAGUGAAGGUACUCAUCAUCGAAGUUCAUUGAAUGUUGGGUUACUGCCAAACUCUCCAAUGAGAAAAUUGAUCAAUAUUGCGCUUGCCUCUUUGAUAAUUCAAUAUGGCUUUGCUCAUCUCUGAAGAAUGACUCACCAAGCUGCGUCGACAAUAUACUCAAGUGUACCAGGAAGGUUAGGCUUGGUUUACUUUUUCAUAUUUUAGUAAUUCAAUCUAUACUAGUACUUUUGUGUGUGACAUAUCACCAUAUCUCUAAUGCGGACUUUCACUUUUAUCUCGGUGUUGUGAUCACCCUUACCUCAAAGAUAAAUCGCUUGAAGGCAUAGUUACAAAAGACAUUCCUCAAGAUCAGCGCUUUGAUGUUGAAAUCAAACUAAGUGGCAAAUUGGAACUCCUCAACAAGAUUCUCCAGGAGAUCAAACAUCAAAGACAAAGAGUCCUCGUUCUUUUUCGGGUAGCUACUUUUACUUCAAAAUUUCCUUUCAUUAUCGUUCAUUUCCAAUUUUCAUAUCUGACUUUGAUUUUGCCAAGUGACUAGAUUCGAUAAUUUAAAUGCAGAUUGGUGCACCUAGGAGCUCUCGUGUAUUCUUUCUGAUUUUUUAUUUGUUUCCUAUUGCUUUGCAUAAGGGCUAGAGCUAAUGUUUCUAAUUUUAACACGCCUAGUCUGCCUCAAUCCCCUUACCCAAACCAACUUCAAACCAGACGUAUUGGUGCAGUAAAGGAUGCAGGUUCAGGUGCUCAGUCUCAACAGCGAUAGUGAUCUUCGAGUACCUUCUUCUACAUCUCUGCAGUUGGUGAGUCUUCAUGGUUCGAGGACCUGUAUCUCUCAUUUUGCCUUGAAGAUAGAGGGUCGUUUAUUUUCAGUUCAGUAUGAGUCAAGUUAGGGAUCUAUCCCAAUGGUUCCUCAGUCUUAUGUAGUAGAGGCUUUGUCAGAUCAGUGUGCUAGUAUGUACAGGAUUUCAGUAUUUUGUUUGUACAGGGCAGUAUUAUUUCAUGUUUCAGUAUGUUCAUGACAUGUUUAUUCCUCUUUAUCUUAGCAUGAUUUGCGCU
Molecule: long non-coding RNA, 4997 nt
Organism: Capsicum annuum
Lineage: Eukaryota; Viridiplantae; Streptophyta; Magnoliopsida; Solanales; Solanaceae
Exons: 6
Source: RefSeq, a predicted model, not a curated record